GAUGAACGCUGGCGGCGUGCCUAAUACAUGCAAGUCGAGCGAACAGACGAGGAGCUUGCUCCUCUGACGUUAGCGGCGGACGGGUGAGUAACACGUGGAUAACCUACCUAUAAGACUGGGAUAACUUCGGGAAACCGGAGCUAAUACCGGAUAAUAUAUUGAACCGCAUGGUUCAAUAGUGAAAGACGGUUUUGCUGUCACUUAUAGAUGGAUCCGCGCCGCAUUAGCUAGUUGGUAAGGUAACGGCUUACCAAGGCAACGAUGCGUAGCCGACCUGAGAGGGUGAUCGGCCACACUGGAACUGAGACACGGUCCAGACUCCUACGGGAGGCUGCAGUAGGGAAUCUUCCGCAAUGGGCGAAAGCCUGACGGAGCAACGCCGCGUGAGUGAUGAAGGUCUUCGGAUCGUAAAACUCUGUUAUUAGGGAAGAACAAAUGUGUAAGUAACUAUGCACGUCUUGACGGUACCUAAUCAGAAAGCCACGGCUAACUACGUG
This 497-nucleotide ribosomal RNA is filed under the name uncultured bacterium. RNAcentral's name for it is "partial 16S ribosomal RNA". It matches the Rfam family "Bacterial small subunit ribosomal RNA", at positions 28 to 507 of the family's 1533-position model. The record is from RNAcentral.